This 333-nucleotide unclassified non-coding RNA is filed under the name uncultured fungus. RNAcentral's name for it is "partial contains 5.8S ribosomal RNA and internal transcribed spacer 2". The stretch from base 1 to 133 matches the Rfam family "5.8S ribosomal RNA", at positions 22 to 154 of the family's 154-position model. Lineage: Eukaryota; Fungi. The record is from RNAcentral.
UGGCUCCGGCAACGAUGAAGAACGCAGCGAAAUGCGAUAAGUAAUGUGAAUUGCAGAAUUUUGUGAAUCAUCGAAUCUUUGAACGCACAUUGCGCCCUCUGGUAUUCCGGGGGGCACGCCUGUUCGAGCGUCAUUGAAUCAAUCAAGCCCUGCUUGGUAUUGGGCGCCUCCGCCGCGGGAGGUCCCGAAAUGCAGCGGCUCGGUCGCCCGGGGAAGAACGCAGUGGAGUCUUGCGACUAUCGUUCUCGUCCUCCGGGCGGUCGACGCCGUCGAAGCGUGGCCGCCGGUCACAACUGAAAAAUUGACCUCGGAUCAGGUGGGAAUACCCGCUGA